UGUUGAGGUAUAUGAUGGACAUCGAGAGGAAAGGUUCAAUUUAAGAGCAUUGUUGUUUGGCACAAUCAAUGAUUUUCUAGGAUAUGGUAAUUUGUCAAGGUAUAGUAUCAAAGGAAAGUUUGGAUGUCCUAUUUAUGAAGAGGGCACACAUUCAAUGAGAUUAGAGUAUGGGAUAAAGAAUGUCUAUCUUGGAUAUCAUAGAUGGUUACAUCCUGAUCAUUAUUAUCGGUGCCUAAAAAAAGCUUUCAAUGGAAAUUCAGAAGAAAGUAAGGAACCUUUGCCACUGAUAGGUGAGCAACAUUUUGACAAGGUGAAGAAUUUGAAUAUCGAGUUUGGCAAACCUUUUGCAAAGCAUCUUGGGACAUGUGGGUAGAAGAAAAGGUCUAUUUCUUUUACCUACCAUAUUGAUAAUCCUUAUAUGUGAGACAUUUUCUUGAUGUUAUACACAUUGAGAAAAAUGUGUGUGACAGUUUGAUUGGUACAUUACUUCAUAUUCAGGGAAAGACCAAAUAUGACAUCAAGGCAAGACUUGAUAUGAUUUUUAUAGGGAUAAGGGAAGAGUUGGCUCUGCAAGAGAGGGGAAGUCGCACAUUUCUUCAUGCAGUGGCUCAUACACUGUCUAGAAGAGAAAAAAAGACUUUUUGUGAGUCACUUGCUACUGUUAAAGUUCUAAAGGGGUACUCUUCAAAUAUUAAGGGCCUUGUGUCAUUGAAGUAUUUGAAGUUAAAGGGUUUAAAAUCACAUAACUGCCAUAUGUUGAUGAAAAAUUUUAUUCCAGUGGCUAUACUUUCUAUUUUACCUGAUACGAUUCGAGCCAUGAUCACAAAAUUGUGUUUCUUCUUCAAGUCUAUAUGUAGUAAAGUGAUUGACCUAACAAAAUUGCCAAGAUUACAAAGUCGAAUUGUGUUAAUCUUAUGUGAACUUGAAAUAUAUUUUCCGCCUGCAUUCUUCAAUAUAAUGGUGCACCUCACUAUUCAUCUAGUUAGAGAGAUACAAAUGUGUGGCCCAGUUUUCUUAAAAUGGAUGUAUCCAUUUGAGCGCUACAUGAAGAUACUAAAAGGAUAUGUGAAAAAUCGGAGUUGACUUGAAGGUUGUAUAGUUGAAUGAUACAUUUGUGAGGAGGCAGUUGAAUUUUAUACUGAGUACUUAUCAAAUGUCAACCAUAUUGGUCUUCCGACUUCUCGGCAUGAUAGUAGAACUGAUGGAGAAGGAAUUAUGGGCAAUAAAGUAGCUACAAUCUCUAACUUACAAUGGGAACAAACACAUUUAUAUGUACUACACAACUCUGUAGAGGUUGAGGAGUAUGUAGAGAUGCACAUGGCCGAGCUUAGGUUAGAUAACCCUAAUAGAUCGGAGAUUUGGUAUGCAAACAAGCAUAAUAAGAGUUUUACAAUUUGGUUGAAACAGCACAUUCUUGAGAAGUUGACUGCCAAUCCUGAUUCAGUUUCUGAAAAAUUAAAAUGGUUGGCAAGAGGUCCAGAUAAACAAGUUCUUUCCUUUACUGGCUAUCUCAUUAAUGGGUACACAUUUUAUACCAAAGAGAAAGAUGAUCAGAGCACAAUGCAAAAUAGUAGUUGAACUCUUAUAGCCUAAGCAAUGCAUAUAUCUAGUACUAAAGACAAAAAUCUCUUGUAAACAAAAAUGUCAUACUUUUGGGUAAUUAAGUAUAUUUGGGAGUUAGAUUACAUCAAUUUUUAAGUUCCAAUUUUUGGUUGUAAGUCGGUUGAUCGAAAAAAUGGUCUUAAAGUUGAUGACUUGGGGUUCUUAAUGGUGGAUCUUAAUCGAGAAGUUUAUAAAGAUGAGCCUUUUAUUUUGGCUUCACAAGCUCACCAAGUGUUCUUUGUUCCUGAUCCGGUUAAAAUAAAUUAGUCUAUCAUUUUAUUGAGCAGUAAAAUAAAUGAAGAUAUGAAUGAUUCUACAGUUGAAGAUGAUCCCUUUAUGGGAAUAUCAUUUGAAAGUUACUUCAUUGAGGAUGAAGUCUUUUAUAUGAGAAAUGAUCACAAUAAAGGUAUUUGAAUUUUAAAGAAAAGAGGUAGAAGCAUUCGAGCAAAGAAGGAGAGCAAAGAUAAGGAAUGUACAAGAAAAAGAAAAAGAACAAUUUAAACCUGUAAAUGGCUUUUCAAAGGAAUCCUGGUCUCAAUGGACCUAGUAGUGUUGAUCCUAGCGUUGAGAUGAAUGACCAACAAAUUUAGCAAGAAGCAAAUCAAAUAACAAGAAGAUUGACAUUGAUGACCGAGGUGAAUAGAAGAAGGGCUGCUGGACAGAAAUAUGAAGUUGAAUGAAAUUUCAAAGGUCAACCUAUCAAGACCAACAGAAAUAAAUUCAUCAACUACAUAGGGGUUGUGGCAAAAGCAAAUGUGCCGAUUACAAUUAGGCACUGAAAUGAUAUUAGUCUAGCUACAAAAAAUUAUAUUUGGGAGCAAGUAGAGCAUUUGCAAUUGAUGCUAGUCAGAUGAAAUUUGUCAUCCAAUAAGUUGGAAAGGCAAUGCGGACAUUUCAGUAUUUCGUGGGAGCGAAAUACAUUAAAAAAUCAGGAGAAAACAUUAGUGCUGAGGUCCCCGACUUGAUAAGGCCAUUAGUUUCACAAGAACAGUGGGAUGAAUUUAUUGCUCAACGUCUCGAGGGACAAUUUCAAGUAAGAAUAAUGAGAUGAAUUUCAACAGUGGCAUACCUGAUGAUGAUGUCUUGGGCAAGGCAUUGGGUAAUCCCGAACACCCUGGUCGAGUUAGGGGAUAUGGCUUUGGUAUCUUGAAAAAACAAAUAUUUGGGUCACAGAAGAAAGCAAGGUGAACAGAAGAUGUGGGUGCAAGGGCUGAGAUUGCCACCCUGAAAGAGGAGCUAUCUAGGCAACAGGACAUGAUUGAAGCUUUGCUAAAUGACAAGGAGAGGCGGGAGGCAGAGUUUCAUAUUAGUCCUAGCGGGAAAGAUAGUUAUAGUGUCAUGCAGCCUAUAAAAAUCUCCCUGAGGUAAAACAUUAUUAAUUUAUUUCACUUAUGUUUCACUAUUUCUAUUUCCCAUAACUUUAAUAUAGUAUAUUACUUAUUAAUAUAGGGUGAAAGCCUAUGUCAGUUGUUGGUAAAUAGCCUGAAUCGUCAUGUGGUUGCUAUCAAUCGAGUGUUUAAUUUGCCGGGAGACAUGCUACAUAAUAUGCCACUUUUUGCGUCCUAUGUAUGUGUUGCUAUUGAUGUGCUGAAAGAUUUGAACUAUCCGCUACCUAUUCCUACUGAGGAUGUAGAGAUUGUUGGAGAGGCGAUGGGUAGUUUUGUUAGAUGGCAAGCUAGUCAAGUUAGGAUGCUAAAUCCAUAAAAAAAACUAGCAAAGAUGCACAGUCAAAAAAGAAGAAGAUGAUACCCCGAUCUAGGCUCUCCUCUAAAAAGGCAGUCCCCCAUAAAGUUGUGCCUAAACAAGAGCCUCAAUUGCCAAGCCAACACAGAAAUUUGCUCUAGACAUAUGCAACGGUUCAUAGGUCUAAUCCUCCAGUCCUACAAAUUCCGUUUGAGGUUGGUAUAUAUGGCGAAGACCGAUAUGAUAUGCUUUCGCUUGAUGUUGUUGAUGAAGUACUUCAACAUGAUAUGACCAGUAUCACUGUUCUCAGCUUCUACAUACGAUAAUUUUUUCCAUAUAUGAAUAGUUAAUAUUUUAAAUAUAAACUAAUCCAUUUCUUGUAUUUAUAAUAGGUGCUUGUAUAAUAAAUUUGUUGUCCCUUUCGA
This is a long non-coding RNA of Prosopis cineraria, 3710 nucleotides long. RefSeq lists it as uncharacterized. Lineage: Eukaryota; Viridiplantae; Streptophyta; Magnoliopsida; Fabales; Fabaceae. The transcript has 3 exons. The record is from RefSeq and is a predicted model, not a curated record.